This 216-nucleotide unclassified non-coding RNA is filed under the name Hevea brasiliensis (rubber tree). Lineage: Eukaryota; Viridiplantae; Streptophyta; Magnoliopsida; Malpighiales; Euphorbiaceae. The record is from RNAcentral.
GAUGUGAUGGAGCGCUUUUUCGAAUAAGAAUGGUCCGUAUUAGGCUCUGUUGGCAGGGAUAAACCCAAAUCUAAUAGAGAACCAAAUGAAGUCUGUCUCAUCUGAUUAUAGUCGCUUCCAAAAUGAAGAGAUUUGCUUUCAUCUAAAACCAUGCUGGCAGUAACUUCUGGCUUUGUAAUUGCUAGGCGGAAACUGUUGCCUUUUUCUUCAGAAAAU